GACAGUCAGCAGUUGGUCUGUG
RNAcentral lists this microRNA (22 nucleotides) under Gallus gallus (chicken). RNAcentral's name for it is "Gga-Mir-2970_5p (mature (guide))". The record is from RNAcentral. Lineage: Eukaryota; Metazoa; Chordata; Aves; Galliformes; Phasianidae.